GGAAGUGUGGCCGAGUGGUUUAAGGCAGCGGUCUUGAAAACCGCCGUGGGUGUAAGCUCACCGUGGGUUCGAAUCCCACCGCUUCCGCCA
Molecule: transfer RNA, 90 nt
Filed under: Sphingomonas bisphenolicum
Lineage: Bacteria; Pseudomonadati; Pseudomonadota; Alphaproteobacteria; Sphingomonadales; Sphingomonadaceae
Also listed under: 10 other names
Description: tRNA-Ser
Rfam family: tRNA
About the family: Transfer RNA (tRNA) molecules are approximately 80 nucleotides in length. Their secondary structure includes four short double-helical elements and three loops (D, anti-codon, and T loops).
Source: RNAcentral